Molecule: long non-coding RNA, 1582 nt
Filed under: Homo sapiens (human)
Lineage: Eukaryota; Metazoa; Chordata; Mammalia; Primates; Hominidae
Description: non-protein coding lnc-ZNF431-5:1
Source: RNAcentral
CUCUGUGGCCUAGGCUGGAGUGCAGUGGUGCGAUCUUGGCUCACUGUAACCUCCACCUCCUGGGUUCAAGUGAGUCUCCUACCUCAGCCUCCCAAGUAGCUGGGAUUACAGGUGCCCACCAGCACACCUGGCUAAUUUUUAUGUUUUUAGUAGAGAUCGAGUUUUGCUGUGUUGGCCAGGCUGGUCUCAAACUCCCGGCGUCCCAAAGUGCUGGGAUUACAGGUGCGACCCACCAUGCCUGGCCCAACCCCAUAUUAUUUCUGGUAACAAAGCACAGAAACAUGAUUUCUCGAAUUUUGCUAGGAUUUUAAUUUACAAAAGAAAGGUGAAUGCCAUUAAAAGGUGUUUAAUACACUCCCACCAGAAACAAGAGGCAAGGCAGGCCCUGGGGGCCUCACAAAGGCGGUCUUAUGCAAGGGUGAGAAAGCAGAGUUAUCAGGGAGGUGGGACUAUUGCUUUAUGAACGUGAUGAUUGGAAGCAAAAACGUGGGGCUUUUUCCUAUUGAAUACAAAGUAAAAUAAUGAAUGCUGGUGUCAGUGGUUGGGAAUAACAACAUUUGCAGGCUCAUGAGAGCUGCCUGACAAAAAGCGUGUAAACAACAGUGAUUGCUCCUGUGGCCCUGUGAUUCAGCAGGUUUAUGGAGCAGUUAAGAAUCGCAGAUGUCAAAUGGCCAACACAGAAUCUAACGACAUGCUUAAUACAAAUUAUUAUUAGUAGAAAUGCUGAAUUGCUUCAUUUCUGCAAUUUCUGCUGCUUCUUAAGAUGCUUUUAAUGAAUAAAAUCUGCCUUAAAAUUUGAUACCUGGUAACUUCUCUCUGUGAGUUUUGAAUUGGCUGAUGUAACCAAAAUGCCAGCUCUUGCCAUCUAACUACCAUUAAAAGGAACUUCUAAAGCUCCGAAGUGGUCAACAGUUUCACUUCCAACUUUUUUAAAAGAUACACAAUUUUCUAAAAAAUUUUUCUUUAUGGGCGAUUGAAUAGUUGGGCUUUGGCUAAUUCCUCAUUAGCAAUAGAAUUAUGUAUAUUUUGCAAACUCUAAUACAGAACACUUAAUGUAUCAGACAACCAUGAUUAUGAUGUAUAUACCUGGUAUAAACAAUCUUUUUUGCAUAUUGAAUUCUGCAUUUUUUUCUUCCUUGAUACGUAUGAGAUUCACCAGUACCAGUUUUUCUCUUGUGGUGGCAUAUAGUUGAUUGUCAUUUGCAUUAUCUAUUAAAAACCUGUGGCAGCUCAUGGUAUUAUUGACCAUAUGUUCUAGUGUCUUCUUGCAGAUUUAAAUAUUUUAUUGCAGUGUAAAGUUUAAUAUUUAGAUGUGUGAUACAUCUUUGGAUAAUCUGUAAUUAAAUUGAUCUUUUGUAAUGGUGAUAGUGAUUAGCACACACUGAAAAUCCAGCAAAGCAAUUAUUUUUCUCUUUUUAACUGGAAAUCAUAUUCGUAAGUUGUGGUAGAUAUUAUCAUCAGUGUAUUCAUGAUUCGAUUUAUAUUUUGUGUUAUCUGGUUAUAAAUUUUAUAUAGCAUUCAAUUUGACAAAAUAUAAAUCUAUUUGAUUUGAAUUUAAUGGUGUGUGUGUGUGUGUGUGUGU